Molecule: ribosomal RNA, 253 nt
Filed under: uncultured bacterium
Lineage: Bacteria
Description: partial 16S ribosomal RNA
Rfam family: Bacterial small subunit ribosomal RNA
Source: RNAcentral
UACGGGGGGGGUAAGCGUUGUUCGGAAUUACUGGGCGUAAAGGGCUCGUAGGCGGCCAACUAAGUCGGACGUGAAAUCCCUCAGCUUAACUGGGGAACUGCGUCCGAUACUGGAUGGCUUGGAUUUGGGAGAGGGAUGCGGAAUUCCAGGUGUAGCGGUGAAAUGCGUAGAUAUCAGGAGGAACACCGGUGGCGAAGGCGGUGGUCUGGGCCGGAACUGACGCUGAGGAGCGAAAGCGUGGGGAGCGAACAGG